This 48-nucleotide transfer RNA is filed under the name Pendola sp. UPOL 000M45. RNAcentral's name for it is "partial tRNA-Ser". Lineage: Eukaryota; Metazoa; Arthropoda; Insecta; Coleoptera; Lycidae. The record is from RNAcentral.
AAAGAAAUAAAUAUUUAAAGCUUCUAACUUUAGAAAGAGCAUUUAAUU